CCAGGGAUAGGGCUGAUAUACUCUGAAUUGGCAACAGGAGUCCCAUCUAUCUUCUCUCACUUUGUUACGAAUCUCCCUGCAUUUCACAGUGUGCUGGUGUUUGUAUGUGUCAAAUCUGUUCCAGUUCCAUUUGUCUCACCUGAGGAGCGCUUCCUCAUUGGUCGCAUUUGCCCAAGGCCCUAUCGCAUGUACCGUUGCAUUGUCAGAUAUGGUUACAAGGACAUACAGCGAGAUGAUGGGAAUUUUGAGGACCUUCUCAUCCGGAGUAUAGCAGAGUUCAUCCAAAUGGAAGCAGUAGAGCCACAACUGUCAAGCUCUGAGAGUCCAUCAUUUGAUGGGAGGAUGGCAGUUAUAAGCACAAGAAGUGUACAGUCAGGCUCAACGUUACUUGUCUCAGAGGAAAUCUCCCUGCAUUUCAUAGUGUGCUGGUGUUUGUAUGUGUCAAAUCUGUUCCAGUUCCAUUUGUCUCACCUGAGGAGCGCUUCCUCAUUGGUCGCAUUUGCCCAAGACCCUAUCGCAUGUACCGUUGCAUUGUCAGAUAUGGUUACAAGGACAUACAGCGAGAUGAUGGGAAUUUUGAGGACCUUCUCAUCCAGAGUAUAGCAGAGUUCAUCCAAAUGGAAGCAGUCGAGCCACAACUGUCAAGCUCUGAGAGUCCAUCAUUUGAUGGGAGGAUGGCAGUUAUAAGCACAAGAAGUGUACAGUCAGGCUCAACGUUACUUGUCUC
RNAcentral lists this long non-coding RNA (727 nucleotides) under Nicotiana benthamiana. RNAcentral's name for it is "long non-coding RNA (NBEN_LNC004321)". Lineage: Eukaryota; Viridiplantae; Streptophyta; Magnoliopsida; Solanales; Solanaceae. The record is from RNAcentral.